ACCAGUUGUGCCGCCAGGUGCAUCGCUGGGUAUCUAAGUCGGGAUUGGAUAAGUGCUGAAAGCAUCUAAGUACGAAGCCAGCCACAAGAUUAGAUUUCUUAGGGUCGUCAAAGACGAUGACGUUGAUAGGAUGCAGGUGUACAGGUGGUAACAUCAUAGCCGAGCAUUACUAAUUGCCCGUUCACUUUCUUUC
Molecule: ribosomal RNA, 193 nt
Filed under: Streptococcus danieliae
Lineage: Bacteria; Bacillati; Bacillota; Bacilli; Lactobacillales; Streptococcaceae
Description: partial 23S ribosomal RNA
Rfam family: Bacterial large subunit ribosomal RNA
Source: RNAcentral